Molecule: ribosomal RNA, 395 nt
Filed under: uncultured bacterium
Lineage: Bacteria
Description: partial 16S ribosomal RNA
Rfam family: Bacterial small subunit ribosomal RNA
Source: RNAcentral
CCUACGGGAGGCAGCAGUGAGGAAUAUUGGUCAAUGGGCGCGAGGCUGAACCAGCCAAGUCGCGUGAGGGAUGAAUGUCCUAUGGAUUGUAAACCUCUUUUAUAAGGGAAUAAAGUGUGGGACGUGUCCUAUUUUGUAUGUACCUUAUGAAUAAGGAUCGGCUAACUCCGUGCCAGCAGCCGCGGUAAUACGGAGGAUCCGAGCGUUAUCCGGAUUUAUUGGGUUUAAAGGGUGCGUAGGCGGCCUUUUAAGUCAGCGGUGAAAGUGUGUGGCUCAACCGUAGAAUUGCCGUUGAAACUGGGGGGCUUGAGUAUGUUAGAGGCAGGCGGAAUGCGUGGUGUAGCGGUGAAAUGCUUAGAUAUCACGCAGAACCCCGAUUGCGAAGGCAGCAUGCC